Molecule: ribosomal RNA, 1242 nt
Filed under: metagenome
Description: bacterial LSU rRNA
Rfam family: Bacterial large subunit ribosomal RNA
Source: RNAcentral
UGAAUACGAGAUGCUACGGCGUCGAAGCAGUCUAUGUCAUACUUCCAAGAAAAGCUUGCACUGUCAUAAACAAAUAAUGCCUGUACCAUAACCGACACAGGUGGGUAGGUAGAGUAUACUAAGGGGCGCGAGAUAACUCUCUCUAAGGAACUCGGCAAAAUGACUCCGUAACUUCGGGAGAAGGAGUGCCUUACUUAUAAGGUUGCAAUAACAAGAUCCAAGCAACUGUUUACCAAAAACACAGGUCUCCGCUAAGUCGUAAGACGAUGUAUGGGGGCUGACGCCUGCCCAGUGCCAGAAGGUUAAAGAAGUUGGUUAGCAUCCGCGAAGCUGAUAACUGAAGCCCUGGUGAACGGCGGCCGUAACAAUAACGGUCCUAAGGUAGCGAAAUUCCUUGUCGGGUAAGUUCCGACCCGCACGAAAGGCGUAAUGAUUUGGAUACUGUCUCGGAGAGGGGCUCGGUGAAAUAGACUUGUCUGUGAAGAUGCGGACUACCUGCACCAGGACAGAAAGACCCUAUGAAGCUUUACUGUAACCUGAAAUUGAAAUUGGACUUUACUUGCGCAGUAUAGGUGGGAGGCGUUGAGAAUAUUCUUGCGGGAUUAUUGGAGCCAUCAGUGAGAUACCACUCUUGUAAUGUUAGAUUUCUAACUUUGUAUCAUUAUCUGGUCAAAGAACAGUUUCAGGCGGGCAGUUUGACUGGGGCGGUCGCCUCCUAAACGGUAACGGAGGCGCACAAAGGUUUCCUCUGAACGGGUAGAAAUCGUAUCUAGAGUGUAAAGGCAUAAGGAAGCUUGACUGUGAGACCUACAAGUCGAGCAGGGACGAAAGUCGGUCUUAGUGAUCUGACGGUGCUGAGUGGAAAGGCCGUCACUCAACGGAUAAAAGUUACUCUAGGAUAACAGGCUGAUCUCCCCCAAGAGUUCACAUCGACGGGGAGGUUUGGCACCUCGAUGUCGGCUCAUCGCAUCCUGGGGCGGUAGUACGUCCCAAGGGUUGGGCUGUUCGCCCAUGAAAGCGGUACGCGAGCUGGGUUCAGAACGUCGUGAGACAGUUCGGUCCAUAUCCGGUGUAGGCGUUAGAAUAUUGAGAGGAGCCUUCUUUAGUACGAGAGGACCGAGAAGGACAUACCUCUGGUGUACCAGUUAUCGUGCCAACGGUAAACGCUGGGUAGCUAUGUGUGGAGUGGAUAACCGCUGAAAGCAUCUAAGUGGGAAGCCCACCUCAAGAUAAGUAUUCUCA